This 412-nucleotide ribosomal RNA is filed under the name uncultured bacterium. RNAcentral's name for it is "bacterial SSU rRNA". It matches the Rfam family "Bacterial small subunit ribosomal RNA", at positions 355 to 759 of the family's 1533-position model. The record is from RNAcentral.
UGGGGAAUAUUGCGCAAUGGAGGCAACUCUGACGCAGCCAUGCCGCGUGUGUGAAGAAGGCCCUCGGGUUGUAAAGCACUUUCAAUUGGGAGAAAAAGCUUGUCGUUAAUAGCGGCAAGCCUUGAUGUUACCUUUAGAAGAAGCACCGGCUAACUCCGUGCCAGCAGCCGCGGUAAUACGGAGGGUGCGAGCGUUAAUCGGAAUUACUGGGCGUAAAGCGCGCGUAGGCGGUUGCUUAAGUCGGAUGUGAAAGCCCCGGGCUCAACCUGGGAACUGCAUUCGAUACUGGGCGACUAGAGUACGAGAGAGGGAGGUAGAAUUCCACGUGUAGCGGUGAAAUGCGUAGAUAUGUGGAGGAAUACCGGUGGCGAAGGCGGCCUCCUGGCUCGAUACUGACGCUGAGGUGCGAAAA